CUACUGGACGUAAAGCAACCAAUAAUCAACCGAUCAACUGUUAUUGUUAAAGUCAUAUGUUAUUUCAAAUGUAACAAACAUAUAAAAGUGACGAAAAAAUGGUUUCAUCAGUCUUAAUGCCAUUGUGAAGUCAUAAAAUUGAGAACGGAAAUGGUGAAUGUGUCUGAAAGAAGUCAACAACCCGACCAAAGGCAGAAAACAGCCAAAGGUCCAAAUAGGUCUUAGAUCCAGCGAAAAAAAUCCGGCCCUGGAAGCGCUUCAAUCCC
Molecule: long non-coding RNA, 266 nt
Filed under: Mytilus galloprovincialis (Mediterranean mussel)
Lineage: Eukaryota; Metazoa; Mollusca; Bivalvia; Mytilida; Mytilidae
Source: RNAcentral